RNAcentral lists this unclassified non-coding RNA (185 nucleotides) under soil metagenome. Its description in RNAcentral is "partial internal transcribed spacer 1". The record is from RNAcentral.
CCUAGAGUGCGGGUCCAUCGCGGCCCAACCCUCCCACCCUUGUCUCUAUACACCUGUUGCUUUGGCGGGCCCACUGGGGCCACCUGGUCGCCGGGGGACGCAUGUCCCCGGGCCCCGUCGCGCCGCCGAAGCGCUCUGGUGAACCCUGAUGAGAUGCGGCUGUCUGAGUACCAUGAAAAUUGUCA